RNAcentral lists this ribosomal RNA (138 nucleotides) under unidentified eubacterium OS-Q. Its description in RNAcentral is "partial 16S ribosomal RNA". It matches the Rfam family "Bacterial small subunit ribosomal RNA", at positions 1166 to 1304 of the family's 1533-position model. The record is from RNAcentral. Lineage: Bacteria; Bacillati; Chloroflexota; Chloroflexia; Chloroflexales; Chloroflexaceae.
GAGGAAGGCGGGGAUGACGUCAAGUCCGCAUGGCCCUGAGCCUNGGGGCGACACACACGCUACAAUGGCCGUCACAGUGCGUUGCGACUCCGCAAGGGAGUGCUAAUGCGCAAAGGCGGUCUCAGUGCAGAUGGGGGC